RNAcentral lists this non-coding RNA (34 nucleotides) under Alexandrium minutum. Lineage: Eukaryota; Dinophyceae; Gonyaulacales; Pyrocystaceae. The record is from RNAcentral.
UUUUUUUUUUUUUUUUUUUUUUUUUUUUUUUCCU